AUUCCAGCUCCAAUAGCGUAUAUUAAAGUUGUUGCAGUUAAAACGCUCGUAGUCGGAUUUCGGGGCGGGCCGACCGGUCUGCCGAUGGGUAUGCACUGGCCGGCGCGUCCUUCCACCCGGAGACCGCGCCUACUCUUAACUGAGCGGGCGCGGGAGACGGGUCUUUUACUUUGAAAAAAUCAGAGUGUUUCAAGCAGGCAGUCGCUCUUGCAUGGAUUAGCAUGGGAUAAUGAAAUAGGACAUUGGUUCUCUAUUUCUGAUGGUUUGAAGGACCGAUGUAAUGAUUAAUAGGGACAGUUGGGGACAUUUAUAUUCCAUGGCUAGAGGUGAAAUUCUUGGAUUCAUGGAAGAUAAACUACUGCGAAAGCAUUUGUCAAAGAUGUUUUCAUUA
Molecule: ribosomal RNA, 391 nt
Filed under: Gephyrocapsa cf. oceanica
Lineage: Eukaryota; Haptophyta; Isochrysidales; Noelaerhabdaceae
Description: partial small subunit ribosomal RNA
Rfam family: Eukaryotic small subunit ribosomal RNA
Source: RNAcentral